GCUGACUGGUAAAUUGUGAGGAAGGAAAUGCCUGCAGUGAACUGCAGACCAGAUCAGCACACUGAGAUUCUUGUUCAAGAAGACAGGAUUUUGUGUGUGUGUGUGUGUGUGUGUGUGGGGUGGGGGGUCGCUGUGAACUGAGGCUUUUCUGGGGCUGUUCAAUAGGGAAAUUAGUUAUUUUCUGCAUGUUACUGGGCUGUAGGGUGAAGGCAAGGUCUAAAUUAAGCCUCUUCAGACUUCCUCAGUUCUUUGAAAAGUGUGUGUUUGAAGAAGACCAUUUGGCUGGCAGAAGAGGGAUGUGUGGGGAGGGAAUAUCUCCUGUAAACCACGCUUUGAAAAGGGGAGGUGCCUGCAGGAGUUUCAGAGCAGAUUAAAACUGCAGGGUAUCCCCUACCUCUCUUCUCCAUUUCCGCAGACCUGCAAUAGGAAGGGCAUAGUGUACAUCCUUAUAGUGAAACAUAAAAAGUCCCUUCAGUUUUCCAGUGGUUCACUAGUGUUAAUUUUACUGUAUUCUGGCGUUUGAAUGUAAUUCACUUAGAAUUUAUUCUGGCAUGAGAUUGACAAAGAUUUAUAUUUACCUGGUUCCUUGGAGACACCCUGAUACUUUUUCAAAGCCGUUUUAUUCCUCUUCUCCCUACAAAUUUGUUUCUUUAGGAAACACUGUGAUUUUCAAACAUGUAAGUCAUACUCCAGAGAUGGUUUAUCCAAUAAGCAAGGUACACACGGGUUUACUUGUGCCUACCUACUAAUCUGUAGUCAAAAUUUUCCCUGUUUUUCACCACAUCAAAGGUGUGAUGAAACCCCCAUGAAAUUGUUCACUACUGAUUAGUGAGUAAACACAAUUAACCCUGUUGUACACCUUGCUUACUGGCUAAUCCACCCUUGCAUACUGGCAAAAUGUCAGUACUUGAUAGGCAAUCAAUUAGCUUGGCAAGUUAAAAAAAAAAAAUUGAAGAGGGAGCACUUGGAUCUGUUAGAGAGAUGAGAACUCUGAGGUGAAUGGAAGUAAAAGAAGUUGCUGCGAAGCUCAAGCUCGCUGGGAACAACUGUCCCUAGUAAAGUGAAAUAUAGGUUGUCGGCUAAUAGUUUGGAACACAAAGCAAAUUAUUGGUAAUAACUUCAAAUUUUGUCUAAAAUUUUUAAGUUGGUGAUGGUGAGGGAAGGAAUUCUGAAGUUUGAGAGAGGUGGUAUAACUUGAAAAAGUAUAUGCUUUUAGAUCUAAAAAAAAAAAAUGUCAUUUUUGUCAUGCAGGGAGUCCCCGGAUUAAGAAGGAGCUCCGUUCCUAAAUCUGUCUUUAAGUUGAAUUUGUAUAUAAGCCGGAACAGUUAGGUACAGUUUGUAUCUAAUGUUAGUUAACCAGAUGUUUGUCUUAGCACGUAGUGUUCCUUUUGUAGACAUAAAAAGCAUUAUAGAAUCAUUUCCAGAUACACUCAAAUAUCUUUAACAUGAUAAUAUGGUGAUAAUAAGAGUGUUUUAAUGCUCUUUGCAAAGUAGCACCUGUUUAUUAUUACGAGCCAUUGUAUAUACCUCAAAUUUUUAAUAUAAAUAGGCUUUAUGGGAAUUGGUUUGUAACUACAGGUUGCAUGUUAGUGGGACCUUUGUAACUGGGGACUGCCUGUGAAAACUACACAAAGGGCGUGCAGUUCUCACGUUCACCUGUGGAAGGGGCUGUGAAAAGGUUGAAAAACACUGAUCAGGUUAAGCAAGGGAAACCAGGAAGAUUGGCAGGCUGAGUGCAUCUUGAGGGACACAGCAUGUAUUAGUGACCUAUAGCACAAGAGUUUACUCUCUGAAUCAGUGAAAGCUCAGUAGUGUUACUUUCAAAACAAUAACAAAAUCAUUUCCUUCCUGUCCUUUCUGUCCUUUGGGUUAGGCACGGGCAGGAUGGAGAGUGAAUGAAAAAUUAGAGUCUGACUUGCAUGCCUAAGCAGUAGUAUCCCUUGAGAAGGAUCUGUGUCACAUUGUGUACAUGUAAGAGCCUUCACAUUGAGAGGGGUCUGAGCACCUUCCUUAGGAUGUAAGGUAGAGCUAGAUAGCAUAGCUACAGGUGGGGGCUGGGAGUGCUGUUAUCUGAUACUGAAGCAGUGGGGGAAAAGGAGAACCAGGAAAUGUUGAAUUCAGUGAGGCUCUUGCAUUUGCAAGAUUGAGGAGGCAUUUCCAGGCAGAAGUGCCUCAUUGUUGGCCAGCCUGGCUUUGCUUUACAUGGCUUCCAGACGACCUGCCAGUCACAGUGGAGGCUCCUGUGGAGGUUACACAUCUCAGAUGGUAGCUUAUGCUUAUGAUGUGCUCUAGAAAAGAAAGGCUCCCAAGGACAGAAAUCUAGGCUGCCAUUCCUGUCACCCAUAGGCUUCCAGAAAGCAGAUUGUGCCUUCCCUACCAGCAGGUGGCACUGCUGUCUCUGGGAAUUCCUGGAGGAGGUGAAAUAAUGGAGCUGGCAAACUAGCAGUGUGUAGCCUCUAGUCUACAGGAUCUUGAGAGGCUUUGUGAGAUCUCAGUCAAAGAGAAGCUCAAAGAAAAUAGUUGUGAAAGCCAAAUUGUUUACGUAAGGUUGAAAUAAUGGGUUUUGUGGAGACUGAGGGAUGGUUGUGGUUACUUUGCUAGGGGUGUGUGUGUGUGUGUUUUUGCGUGUGUAGUGGGGGAGAAGGUGGGAUGUAACCUAACAAUUAAGCAUCAUAAUACAGGUUUUGAAUUUUGGGUUGCAUAAAUUGGGUAAUUGAACCUGAAGUUGAAAUCAUGAUUCAAUUAAAAUUCCCCAUAACUUCAUAGUUUCUAAUUCGUUGCAUGUAAACCUAGCCUACACACAUGGGUGGGAUUCUGGAAACAUACAUGUGACUUUUAAACCUGAUCAAUAUCCAGUAAUUAUAAACCUUGAAGGUAGGCGUGAGAGUACUAGUAAAAAUAAUGUUGGUUAAUUAGUCAGUAUACUUCAGGGCUGGCACAGAAGGCAGGUCAAAGUUAUUCUGAAAUCAGGUUUUUCUAGAACUUGGAAGUUUCUAAUAAGUAUGGAUUUUCUUAAAUUCUGUCCCUUUGAGAUUGUAUUCACAACCCAAAACUUGAACAUUGGUUUUUUUGACCUCACGAGCCAGGGUUCAUUCAUCCAUUCUCUUUUCUGAAAUAACUAGAUGGCUGUUCUUUGAGGUGAAUUUUGUAGACAUGAUGUUUGAGGGAGAUGGGUGCUGUUUCCAGUGAAGGGGAGGUUACAGUGUAUAAUGAGGACCUCAGCUUUGACCCUGACCCAGGUAGAGUACACUGCCUUUGAUGCCAGUACGCCAGUCACCUGCUUCCUCUUUCAGUUCGUAUUCUAUGUUCAGCUUAUUGAAGGUUUAUUUCUGUCUCUCUUCAAAUGAACUGAUGAGCUUGUUUUACUACCGAUGACGAAUCCUAAAAUUCUGUUGGUGCUACCUCAACAUUGUUAGUCAUUAAAAAAAAAAAAAUUUAGGGAGAUGCAAAUCAAAACCACAAAGACAUACCACCUCACCCCCAGUAGAAUGGCUAUAAUAAAAAAAAAAAAAGGAAAAUACAGGUGUUUGCAAGGAUGUGGAGAAUUUGGAACCUCAUUCAUUACUGGUGGGAAUGCAAAAUGCCAUAGUCGCUGUGGAAAACAGUUUGGUGGUUCCUCAAAAAAUUUCAGUGUAGAGCUUAUCAUAUGAGCCAGCAGUUCGAAUCCUAAGCAUAUGGCUCAAAGAAUUGAAAGCAGGGUUGCAAACAGUACCUAACAACAAUAACAGCAAUGACCCUCAGAGGAAGGCAGGGUAUUUUAGAGAUGGGGAAAUCAAGACUCAGAGUUGUUAAGUAACUAAGGCAAGGUUACUGUGCUUGUGUCUUAUCCCAAAUUUCUUGCUCUAAACCUAAUGUAGCCAGAAUGCUCAUUAGAAGUGAGGAUAGCAAAACUUCAUCUCGCAUGCUUCGGACAUAUGAUCAGGAGGGUCGAGCCCCUGAAGAACAUCAUGCUUGGGAAAAUAGAAGGUCACCAAAAAAGAGGAAAGCCCUCAAUGAGAUGGAUUGACACAGUGACUGAAACAGUGAGCUCAAACACAGCAAUGACUGUGAGGAUGGCACAGGACCAGGCAGUGUUUCAUUCUGUUGUACACAGGGUCUCUGUGAGUCAGAAUUGACGGCACCUGACAACAACAACAACAAACGUAAUGCUGUGUUCCUGGUUGGGCUGGAGUCAGCCUUGUACAACAGAGAUUCCUGGCUGCGGAGCAGUCCGUGUGGAUAGCUCUAGCCCGCAUAAUGUGAGUGGAAGUGGGAGGUACUGAGAUCCAUUUCUAGGGAAGAGGGAGAAACUUAACAAGAUAACUCCCAUGCAGCUCCUCCAUUGUGUUUUCCACUCCUAGCUGGCUUGAAAGGAGUGAAGUCCCCAGAACAACCUUGGUCUUUGAGGGGAAGGGGAGAUUGGUGUAGGCACAGGUAUCUGGUUGCAGAAGGGGGUCACGCUCUGAACAAGGUAGGGGGCUGCCAGCCGUCCCCCCGAGUGUCUGUGAGGAAAGUGUGUCCCUGUUCCCUAGAACGCAGAGUUCGGUGGGUUCUGCAGCUGGACCACGGGCACCGAAUGCUUUUGGUUAUAAGGACUGGUAGGAAUCACUUACCCUUGGACCCCUGUCGUGGGUGGCUAGGUGACAUGGGUGGAGCCACCAGUCCUCAGGCCCCUGAUGUAGGUAGGUGAAGACUCUGUUUAAGAGGCAAAGAGUUGUCAAACAUCAAAAACCCACCUCUCCACCACACAGCUGAGACUGUUAAAGUCAGAUCUCAAGCAGAUGCACCAUUGCGGUCUACCAACAAGGGCCUAAUCUGAAAUGGGCCCACACAGCUCCAUGCAGGGGUUAAAGGUAUUCAAAGUUCACGGACCAUUUGUGCCUGGACAGGAGCCGCUUCUGUCCUGAGCUCCCCAGGUUAGUGGAGCUGGCAGAUUAUCUUUUCCCCCAAGGCCGGGAGAAUGGCUCAGGGUGUGCAUCAGGACCUAUCUCAGGCCCAGGGAAAUCAAUGGCCACUGAAGCUGGCUUGGGGGCUUGGGGAUACGGUAAAAUAAACGCAAGUACUUAGCUUUUGCCAAGAGAGCUGUUCUUCUGUGGUUUGGGAGGUGUGAGUAGACUGUGCGGCUGGCUGUCUCUCCCUGAGGAAACCACGUCCUGAAUGCCACCACCAGCCCUGCUGCAGUUGCUCUGGGGGAUUGUGCCUGAGGGGCACUGGUUCCUGCCGAGUCAGGUCUAGCAACUCCUUGCAGCUUCUGAGACAUCUCUCCGUCCCCCUGCCACUCAGUCUGACUUCUGAACUUUGCCUUUGGUGUUCAGGGAUCCUCCCUUGUCAUAUAUAUAACCAUUUCACUUGUUUUUUCAGGUCUUUGUUGUAAGAGGGAUCCUGGAAGCAUCUGACUAUUCCACCAUCUUGGCCCCGCCUCACCCCAGAGCAACCUUAAAAAUUGUUUCAGAGAUGGCAAGACUUGUCAGCCUGGGUUCCUGGAUCACUGCAUUGAGGAGGCCCACCUCAGUGACAGACCUUUCACCUGUCCAUUGGUGAUUGAUUGAUCGUGGUCCAGCAUGCAGAAGUGAGUGAGUGGUGAAAAGCAGCAGAGCUGAUGGAUUGUGAAGAUGUGUUUGAAGGCUGCCACACUCUCUACUUCAGGGUUGUGCUCAGCUAUUGUUCUGACAGAGACUUCCAUGAACACUAGGAGUUGAAAAGAAAAAGGAAAAAAAUGAAAGAAAACAGGAAAAAGAAGCAAAGAAAAGAUUGUGAGCUCCUGGGGACAGGGACCACAUGGGUCAUUUCAGAACCAGCUCCCGUACCACCUGCUGAUGUUGAUCCUGCUCCUGCACUAACACUGGAGCUCCAUAGUGCACCAACUAUUCCGUCACCAGCUCCAUCACCAGCAUCAGAUGGACAGGUAGCUGGAGGCGUAGAGUUCAAUCGUAGCCACCUCCAGAAAUGGCUCCCACACCAUCUGCUGAUGUUGGUCUUGCUCCUGCUCAACACCAAAGCUCUACAGAGCACCAAGUCUUCCAUCUCCAGCUCUGCCUCGGUCACUACAGGUUGAGCCAUUUGCUACACCUCCUCUACAGCCACUCCUCGUUCAUGGGUAGGGAACGUCAGCUCCAGAACCACACCCUUUCUUCAAUUCACCGGAGUGGGAUUUUUUUUUGGUUUUGUGGUAGUAUUUUUCCAAAUCACUAUAUGCUAUUUUAACAGGUAGAUUUCUCAUAAAAUCAAAAUUGUUUUAAUAAUUUUAACAUGUGUAGUAUAGUGGCUUCAGGUACUUUUACAGUCUUAUUCAAUCAUCAUCAGUAUCUACUUCAGAACAUUUUCAUCACCACUGUGAUGGUUAAUGUUACAUGUCAGUUUGGUUAGGCCACGAUUCUCAGGGGUUUGGCAGAAAUUAUGUAAUCAGCCUCCAUUUUGUGAUCUGAUGUGAGCAGCCAAUCAGUUGGAAGAGGAGUUUCCUUGGAGGAGUGAACUGCAAAUUAACACAUCUCCUGGUACCUGGUAUCCAGCCAUUAAUCUGGCCAAUGCCUUUUUCUUCAUCCUCAUUUUGAAGAACAGGCCCCUCUCGGUGAAUCACAGCGCUGAUCUGUAGGAUUUUGGAGCAAAGCCCUGCCAUCCUCUGCAGAUAGCUACUCUCCUUUUGAGAAACAGCUUUUGGCUUGAUACUGGGCCUUUGUAGAGACUGAACGCUUAACCAUGGGCCACCGACUCACCAUGUGGCCUGAGCUUCCCAUUAUGAACUGGAUGUUGUUUGACCCACAGAAUCAUAAAGUUGGACCUGCCCAGCAGCACUCCAUCAUUAAUUGAAGCAGUAUAUACAAGAUCGGGCCUGAGCAGGAUGUGAGGGUCCAAGUAAGUUGCAUGGGGAAAUGCCCCAAUGCCCAUGGUCUCCACUCAUGUCACAUACCUUUCAUCUCCCAGGCUGCACCUGUGGCCUCAUGGGGAGCUCUUUAUGAUCAGGUGACUGAAGAUGAGAAAACUCGUACCUUGUUUACAGAUGGCUGUAUGCAAUAUGCAGGCACCACUUGAAAAUGGAGAGCGGCAGCACUACAGCCCCUUGCUGGGACCUCCCUGAAGGACAGUGGUGAAGGGAAAUCCACCCAAUGGGCAGAAGUUCAAGUAGUGCACCUGGGUGUUCACUUUGCCUGGAAGAAGAAAUGGCCAGAAGUACGAUUGUAUGUAUACUGAUUCAUGGGCUGUGGCCAGUGGUUUAGCUGGAUUGUCAAGGACUUGUAAGGAACAUGAUCGGGAAGCUGGAGACAAGGGUUUAUGGGGAAGAAAUAUGUGAAUAUACCUCUUUGAAUGGGCCAAAGAAGUGAAGAUAUUUGUAUCUUAUGUGAAUGCUCACUAAAGAGUGACCUAAGCAGAUGAAGAUUUUAACAAUCAAGUGAAUAGGAUGACGUGUUCUUUGGAAACCGCUCAUCCUCCUUUCCCAGGUACUCCCAUCAUUACUCAUGAACAAAGUGGCCAUGAUAGCAGGGAUGGAGGUUAUGCCUGGGCCCAGCAACAUGGACUUCUACUCAUCAAGGCCGACUUGUUGACAACCACUGCUAAGUGCCCAGUAUGCCAGCAGUAGAAACCAAAAUUGAGUCCCUGAUAUGGCCCUACCCCUCAAAGUGAUCAUCCAGCAACCUGGUCGCAAGUUGAUGACGUUGGACCACUUCCAUCAUGGAAAGGGCAGCGUUUGGUUCUUACAGGAAUAAACGCUUACUCUGAAUAUGGAUUUGCCUUCCCUUCAUGCAAUGCUUCUGCCAAAACUACCACCCAUGCACUUACAGAAUGCCUUAUCCACCAUCAUGGUAUCCUACGUGCAUUUCCUUGAAUCAAGGGACUCACUUCACAGCAAAUGAAAUGCAGCAGUGGGCCCAUGCUCAUGAAAUUCACUGGUUUUACCAUGUUCCCCAUCAUCCUGAAGCAGCUGGUUUGUUAGAAUGAUGGAAUGGACUCCUAAAGACACAAUUACGGUGCCAGCUAGGUGGCAAUGCCUUGCAAGGUUGGUGCAGUAUUCACCUAGAGGCUGUAUAUGCUCUAAACCAGUGUCCAAUAUAUGGUAUUGUAUCUCCCAUAGCCAGGAUUCAUGGGUCUAGGAACGAAUGGGUGGGAAUAGGAGUGGCACUACUCACUAUUACCCCUAGUGACCUCCUCACAAGAUUUUUUGCUUCGUGUCCCCACAGCCUUAUGCUCUGCAGAUCUAGAGGUCUUAGUUCCAAAGGGAGAAGUGCUGCCACCUGGAGAUGCAUCACUGAUUCCAUUGAACUGGAAGCUAAGAAUGCUACCUUCCACUUUGGGCUCCUUAUGCCACUGGAUCAACAGGCAAAGAAGGGAGUUACUGUACUGGCUAGUGUGAUUGAUCCUGAUUAUCAGGAGGAAAUCGGAUUGAUAUUACAUAAUGGAGGUAAAGAAGAGUACAUCUGGAAUUCAGAAGAUCCCUUAGGGCAUCUCUUGGUACUACCAUGCCUUGUGAUUCAAGUCAAUGGAAUAGAGGCAGGGCCAAGAUGGCAGAGUAGUCAGAUGCUUCUCGUGGUCCCUCUUACAAAAAAGACCUGCAAAAACAAGCAAAUCGAUUACAUAUGGCAAUGUAGGAGCCCUGAAUGUCAAAGACAAAGUCGAGGAAUUGGACCGAGUGGCAGAGGGAGGAAGAAACAGUUCAGAAGCAGUGAGAAGUUGCCAGGCCUGACCUGGCCAGCACUGGCACCCUGCAGGCUAGAUUGGCUGGCGCAUGUGGUGAGGAAAGUGGUGGUUUUGGGACCAGUUCUCCACCUUGGGAGAGACCAAUUGGUGGAGAGUCUGCUCAAGUCUCCAGAACCAGUGAGAAAUGCUGCUCAGUCAGCGAAAGAUAAGUACAAGCAUCUAACCUACCAUAUGGAUCAAAAUAGAAACAAAAACAAAACCCUUUUUAUCUGCAUUUUCCUUGCUGUGCUCUGGGUCCUGGUCAGGCUUUAGAAAGUGCUGUGCUCCCUGGGCAGGAAGUAGGACCCAUCAUGUGUCCUGAGCCAUUCUCCUCACUUUGGAGAGGGAACAAAUUAAUAAAUGGGGAAAAAAUAAUCUGCCAGUUCCUCUACUCUGGGAAUACAGGGCAGGCAGAGGCUCCCUGCCUAGGCACAGGCAUUAGGGGUCCAUGGACUUUGUAUGCCUUUCACCCCUGCUUAGACCUGUGUUAGCCCAUUUCAACAGCGUAGGCCCUCAUUAGCACAGUAUAAUAGGGUUUAUACCUGAAGCCUAUUUUCAUGUGUAUCUGCUAUAAGGUGGAGUGGUAGAUUUGUGACAGUUGACUCUGCCCUGCCCAUUUAGCAGGGUCCUCACCUACCCACAUCAGGGGCCUGCAGACUGGUAGCUCCACCCAUUCCACUGAGCGACCUGCAACAGGGGUCCAAGAAUAAGUGGUGACUCCCAGCCAUUACACCCGACAGCAUUGGGUGCCCAUAAUCUGGCUGCAAAAUCCACCUACCUAUGUGCUCUUGGGAGCAGGGACAUGCCUUCUAGAUAGACAUUCAGGGACAGCAGUCAGCCCCUAGCCUUGAUCAGUGCAUGACCCUCUACUGCAGCCAAAUACCUGUGCCUACUCCAAUCAUCCCUCCCAUCUAGGACUGUAAGUGAGAGCCUACACCUCACACUUGGUGACCAAUGACCUGGACACCUGAUCAGAAUCCUCACAAGAAAAGGAAAUGGACUCCUGGACUCACAUACCUAGUAAGAGUUCUAGCAGCCUGGAGACAGAAUGUGAGAGUUUCAAAGGCAUGAAUAACCAAAUUAGUUCACGCCACCACCCUAUUUGGGCAUAUAAAAACAAAACAAGAAGCAGGGACACAGUAAGCAAACAAUAAAGGAAUAAAUAAAAUAAAUUAUUGAUGGCUCAGAGGCAACAGUCAAUAUCAAAUCACAUAAAGAGGCAGAGACCAUGAUGGCUUCAUCAAGCCACCAAAACAAAGAGUCAAGAAACCUUCCUGAGGAAAAUAAUGUCUUGGACUUACCAGAGGUAGAAUUCAAAAGGCUAAUAUACAGAACUCUUCAAGAGACCAGAAGGAGAUCAGGCAAAACAGAGACCACACCAAGGAACACACAGGCAAAACAGUAGAGGAACUUAACAGGUUUAUACAACAGCAUUAUGACAAAUUUAAAAGGCUGCAAGAAUCUGUAGAGAGACAGCAAACAGAAAUCGAAAAGAUUAACAAUAAAAUUUCAGAAUUAGACAACUCAGUAGAAUGUCAUAGGAACAGAAUUGAAGCAAUGGAAGUCAGAAUUGGUGAUACUGAAGAUGAAGCACUUGACACCAACUUAUUUGAGGAAAGUCAGAUAAAAGAAUUAAAAAAAAUGAAAAAACCCUAAGAAUUAUGUGGGACCCUAUCAAGAAGGAUAACCUGCAAGUGACUGGAGUACCAGAACAGUGGGGGCAUAAGAAAAAAUGCAGAGAGAAUUGUUGAAGAUUUGUUGGCAGAAAACUUCCCUGAAACCGCAGCAGAUGAGAAGCUAUCCAAGUUGUUCAUUGAACCCCACACAAGGUAGAUCCCAAAAGAAAAUCACUGAGACAUAGUCAAACUUGCCAAAACCAAAGAUAAAGAGAGAAUAUUAAAAGUGGCUAUACAUUAAUGAAAAGUCAUUUACAAAGGAGAGUCAACAAAACUAUGCUCAGACUACUCAGCAGAAACCAUGCAGGUAAGAAGGCACUGGGAUGACAUAUAUAAAGCCUUGAAGGAAAAAUAUUGCCAGCCAAGAAGUAUAUAAUCAGCAAAACUGUCUCUGAAAUAUAAUGGCGAAAUUAGGGCAUUUCCAGAUAAACAGAAGUUUAGGGAAUUUGCAAAAACCAAACCAAAAUUGUGAGAAAUACUAAAGGGAGUCCUUCAGUUAGAAAGUCAAAAACAUCAGAUAACAACCCAAGACUCGAAUACAGAAGAGAUAUCACACAGAUAUCGACCCAGAUAGGGACAUCACAAAAAUAAAUCAAAGCUAAAACACUGAAAAUAGGGAAAAAGAGACAUCAAUAGUAAAAGAUGACAACAUGAAAACAAAAAAGAGGAACUAAAAAGUGUAGUCAGAAAUCUUCCAUAUGGAGAGGAUGUCAAGGCAAUAUAAAGAAAUAAACGAUUUGUUUCAACUUAGAAAAAUAGGGAUAGAUAUUAAGGUAACCACAAAGGAAACUAACAAUCCUACAUAUCAAAAAAAAAAAAAAAAACCCAUAAAGACUCAGCAAAUACAAAAUCAACAACAAUGAAAAAGAAAAUAACAUAAAGAAAAACAACACAGCAUAGAAAAUUAAGUGUAACAGAGAAACUCUCCACGGUACGCACACACACACACAGACACACACAAAUACAUCAAAAUGACAGCACUAAACUCAUACCUGUCACUAAUUACACUGAAUGUAAAUGGACUAAAUGCACCAAUAAAGAGACAGAGAGUGGCAGAAUGGAUGAAAAAAAAGAUCAGUCUAUUUGCUGCCUACAAGAGACACACCUUAGACUUAAAGACACAAAUAAACUAAAACUCCAAGGAGGGAAAAAAAUAUACCAAGCAAACAACAAUCAACAAAGAGCAGGAGUGGCAAUAUUAAUCUCUGACAAAAUAGACUUUAAAGCAAAAUCCAGCACAAAGGAUAAGGAAGUACACUAUAUAAUGAUUAAUGGGUCAAUACACGAGGAUAACAUAACCAUAAUAAAUAUAUACACACCCAAUGACGGGGCUCCAGAAUACAUAAACUCUAACAGCAUUGAAAAGAGAAAUAGACAGCUCCGCGAUAGUAGUAGGAGACUUCAGCCCACCAUUUUCAGUGAAGGACAGAAGAUCCAGAAAGAGGAUCUAAAAAGACACAGAAGAUCUAAAUGCCACAAUAAACCAACUUGACCUCGUAGACAAACACAGAACACUCCACCCAACAGCAACCAAGCAUACUUUCUUUUCCAACGCACGUGGAAGAGUCUCCAGAAUAGAUCACAUAUUGAACCCCAAAGCAAGCCUUAACAGAAUCCAAAACAUUGAAAUAUUACAAAGCAUCUUUUCUGACCAUAAAGCCAUAAAAGUAGAAACCAAUAACAGGGCCGGCAGCUCUCUCUGGAGGGUUAUGAUGAAAAGCUGAGACAUAGCCUGGCCAGAAGCCCAGGGUAGAUCAGUCACCCCUUUUCAUGGAUUGAAUUGUGUCCCCCCAAAAUGUGUGUCAAUUUGGCUAGUCCAUGAUUCUCAGUAUUGUGUGACCUUCAUUUUUCAUCUGAUGUGGUUUUCCUAUGUGUUGUAAAUCAUACCUCUAUGAUGUUAACGAGGUGGGAUUAGUGGCAGUUAUGUUAAUGAGACAGGGCUCAAUCUAAAAGAUUAGGUUGUGUCUUAAAUCAAUCUCUUUUGAGAUAUAAAAGAGAGAAGCAAGCAGAGAGACAGGGGGCCCUCAUACCACCAAGAAACAAGAGCUAGGAAAAUAGCGCACCCCUUGGACUUGGGGCCCCUGUGCUAAGAAGCUCCUAGAGCAGGGGAAGAUUGACGACAACGACCUUCCCCAGAGCUGACAGAGACAGAAAGCCUUCUCCUGGAGCUGGCACCCUGAAUUCAGACUUCUAGCUUCAUAGACUGAGAGAAUAAACCAUCCGCUUGUGAAAUUUCUGUUAUAGCAGCACUAGAUAACAAAGACAUGCCUGUAUCAGUCAGGGUACAAUCAGAAGGCAAAAAAGCACACCAGGUUGUUUUUUCAAAGCAAAAAUUUAAUAUAAAUAAUUUCUAAUUAAACAAACAAAAAACUUGUUGCCUUCGAGUUGAUUCUGACUCAUAGUUGGGCCCCAUAGGGUAGAGUAGAACUGCCCUAUAGGGUUUCUGAGGAGUGCCUAGUGAAUUUGAACUGCCGACCUUUUGGUUAGCAGCUAAACUGGUAACCACUAUGCCACCAGGGUUCCCAAAUUAGGCAACUGAAAAGGCAAACAAUUAUCUGGGAGUAGAAACUGCAGUAAGUAGCUAGCACUUCUAGGGCUGGAGAAUAACAGGAAGAGGCUGAAAUUUAUGAAAACUUAGAAACUCAGGGAAGGGUCCUGGGGGCUGGGACCCAGACCUCUGAGGAGAGGGUACUGCUCAGCAAAUGCUGGUGUCUUUGAGGGGCUCCAUGAGGUGAGUUCAGUAGUGUUGCAGAAACUGCAGACUGGACCCAAUGCUUCUUACAGGACCAGGAAGCAAACAGGAAGGAGCAAGUGCCUGCCUUCUCCUCCAGCCUGCGGUAUUCCUCUAUCGCCCUCUAUUGGCAGACCCGAGUGGGGAGCCACUGCAAAGCAGAAAUUUGGUUGCCCUGUCCCAGCGCCAGCAUCACAAAGCUGACUAUGGAAGAGCAUGUUUGGAGUUGAGAGGCAACAACUUGGUAACUGGCACGUCUUUCCAAAGGGUACAUUUUGCAGGAGUCAUGGAGACGAGCUGCCUGUGACCUGACCAGCACAGGCCAACCCCAAGAAUAUAAGUCAAAGGGAGAAGAAGCAAGAAAAUAAUUUGGAGGCCCAGCAGUUACAGCUCUCCCCGUCAUCUGCCUCGAUUUUACGUGAGCUCUUCCCUGAAAUGAAGCUGCCGGGACACUGCUGGGUUUUCAGAACAACAGCCCAUGGCUGAGUGACCUCAGCCCUCAGAGCAGACCCAGGUCUCUGGCAUACGAGGUCCAGCUGGCCGGGGAGGCAAAAUCAACCACUUUGGCUCCAACUAUCCAAUGAUCAGGCCAGCCUUAAAACUUCCUCUUGGAGAAGGUAACCUCAACUUUAGCUCUAUUAUUGUUGUUAUUAUUUACUAUUUCUUGAAGUAUGAUAUACAUACGGAAACCCUGGUGGCGUAGUGGUCAGCAGUUCGAAUUUACCAGGUGCUCCUUGGAAACCCUCUGGGGCAGUUCUGCUCUGCCCUAAAGGGUUGCUGUGAGUCGGAAUUGACUCCAUGGCAACAGGUUUGGUUUUUGGUUAAUAUAUAUACAGAAAUAUGAACACAUAAACUUACAACUCAGUACAUUUUCAUAUACUAGUUUCUCCGUUGUAGAUAGUCCCCAGAUGAAGGCACAGAAUAUUACUAGCACCCAGAAGAUCUUUCUAGUCACUACUUUUUCCAAGGAUAACCAUUCUGACUAAUAACGUGCAUUAGUUUUACCAAUUUUUAUUCUUCAUAUAAUAGAGUGAUACAGCAUAUUCUCUUUUAUAUCUAGCCUCUUUCGCUCAACUUUUCAUAUGUAAGAUUCAUCCAUAUUGUUGCAUGUAAUUGUAGUUUGUAUUGUCGUUGCUGUAUAGUGUUUCAUUUUGUGAAUUCAACUCAAUUUUUUUAUUCAUUAUGUUGUUGAUGGGCAUUUGGGCAGUUUCUAAUUUGGAGCUGUUAUAAAUAAUGCGAGUGGGAACAUCUCAGUACAUUUGGGGGGGUUCAGGUGCCAUUUCUGUGGAAAUAACCUAGGAGUGGAAUUGCUGGGUCACAUAGUGCAUGUCUGGGAGCCCUGGUGGCACAAUGGUUAAGAACUUGGCUGCUAACCAAAAGAGCAGCAGUUUAAAUCCACCACCUGCUCCUUGGAAACCCUAUGGGGCAGUUCUACUCUGUCCUAUGAGUUGGAAUUGACUCCAGGGCAAUGGGUUUGGAUGGCUUAGUGUGUGUCUAUGUUUAGCUUUAGUAGAUACUGCCAAACAGUUUUCCAAAACAGUAGGCCCAUUCUUAACCUAACAUGGAAUGCCCCACCCCGUUCUGGAGCCCUGUUGGCUUGGUGGUUAAGAACUCAGGCUGCUAACCAAAAUGUCCAUGGUUCAAAUCCACCAGCUGCUCCUUGGAAGCCCUAUGGGGCAGUUCUACUUUGUCAUAUAGGGUUGCUAUGAGUCACAAUUGACCCGAUGGCACACAAGAGCAAGAAACCCCCAUCCUAUCCCUUCCUUGAGUUGUGAGCAUUCUCAAACGUGACAUUACUUCUCACAUGCAAGAUUUACAAAUUUCUACCAAAACUUCAGUGCUAACAUUUCAAAACAAGUAAAUGCUUCCAUGAAAUCCAUCCUCAGCAGUGGCAGACUGGAAAAGCAGAGAAUCUGAAUGACAGCUGGAAAGCCCAGAUGCCAAGAUGUUUUUCUUUGUUGAGGAGAGAGCUGGGAGCCUUUUGCAAACACCACUGCCAGGCAGGCUUGCUGAGCUUUGCAGGGCUCAUUACAACACUUGGGCAAGCAAGGGGGUGGGCCCUGCACAGUGAUUCGAAUUGAGCCAUCCCAGGGCUUCUGACUAAUUGUAAACACAGAGAGCACUUAAAGGCUAUGAUUUAAAAAAAAAAAAAGAAAAAACUCUUCAGGGUGCUAGUGAUUGCAUGGCUGGCAGGCAGGGGUGCCAGGGAAAAUCUCCUGCCACUGACUAAAUCACGCCAAGCCUUGCUUCACACAGCCAUCCUCCCAGUCCUGCACCGAGGAAGGGCUUUCUUUGUGUCCUGCAGGAGCUGGAAGGGAAGGGGUCAAUUCAUUUCCAUUGUUGAGGGCCCUUCUGUGAUAAACCUGCUAUUUUCUUGCUCUUACAAAGCAGGGAUGGGCAGACUGGGGUGAUCUAAGCUUCUGGAGGGAGGCUGUUGUAUGUGCAAGCUUUGAUCCCCAUUAGCUACAAACCCCAAAUAAUCCAUAAAGUCUGCAAAUCAGGCUGCAAUGAAUCGGACUUAUUAACAUGUCCUGGAACCUGCCAGGAGAAGCUGCGAAUGUUUGCCAGGGAGGAAAGCCACACUUUUGGGCCUCACUGCAAAAGCUUGUCUGCUCAGGUGAAAACUCCUGGGCUCGCUGGGAGGGAAGAAAGAUCUGAAACUGAAAGGCUGCUUUGGUGCCCCCAGGUCAUCUGGAAAAGUGUCAGCAUGGUUCAGGUUUGAGGGGUGAUUUGCUGUGAGGUGGAGAAAUGGAACAGGAACGCAUUUCCCUGCCUCCCCGGCCCUUGGGGCCCUGCCUGGCCUGGGCCCUACUGAGUUCUCAGCACAAAACCACCGUCCUCCCACCAGCCUCUGAGAAGAGACAGGCAACCUAAGGCCUGAAAAAACUGUCAGAGGCUGGGCUCCGAAGGGAAGACUGAUGGUGAAAAGUUGAUUGCAUUAAUAGCCUUGCUUACUCCCUGGAGCUAUAACCCAACCCAAGCUGUAACCCAACCCAUUGCUGUUGAGUCAGUUCCAACUCAUAAUGACCCUACAGCACAGAGUAGAACUGCCUCAUAGUGUUCCCAAGGACCGACUGGUGGAUUCGAACUGUCGACCUUUUAAUUAACAGCUGAUUUCUUAACUACUUUGCCACCAGGGCUCCACUCCCUAGAGUGGGGGUGGGGGGGGGACCCUUAAUCUUACUUGAUCUGUGGAUCCCUUGGGCAGUCUAGUGGAGCCCAUGGACCCCUUUUUAAAAUAAAAAUUUUAAAUACAUAAGACAUAAUGUAUAAUAUUAUAUUAAAAUACAGCUUUCAAAAAUAUUUAAAGUAUUAUGAUAGUAAGUGUGGCUGAAAUACCAAGAUCUAGUAACAGAUUGAUGAUUGCAGUAAUUUUGAAAUAAUGAUGAAUGUAAGCAAUACUUCCAGCUAUCUCCAAUAACUGUAACCUUGUAUAGGAGUAUCUGUGAUUUCUGUUGGUGACAGUUACAAUUACUGCUUACACUCCUGUGGUGUGUUACCUACAUUCAUUACGGAAGGUAAUGCUAAAUUUCAGUUAGAGGUUAGUGCAAAUGUGAUUUUUCUCUUCCAAGUUGACAAACCUCUUGAAUUCUACCCACAGAUUCCCUGGAUUAAGAACCCCUUAAGCAGCCCUGGUGGCGUAAUGGUUAAACUCUUGGCUGCUGACUGAGGCUCAGUUCGAAUUCACCAGCAGCUCCAUGGGAGAGAAGACCUGACAAUCUGCUCCCUUAAAGACUGCAGCCUUGGAAACCCUUUGGGGCAGUUCUCUGUCCUGUAGGGUUGUUAUGAGUCAUAAUUAACUCGACGGCACACAACGACAAGAAGAAACCCUUGUUUGAUAUCACUUACCGAUGGCUUAAACUGUUUUUAAAAAUAUACAUCCAAGGUUAUUAAUAAACAUUCCCCUUGUUUCAAAAGAGAAUAAUUAAAAAUGAUUCUUACGAAGAAUUAUUCUUAAGGACAUUGGCAUUAAAAUAUUUUAGUGGCUCUUCACAAUACUUGAGUUGAGAUACAAAGAGAUACUUAUCCUUUCCGUCAUUCUUCUAUUUAUCUAUUAAGAAUUUUCUGAGUCGAAAUCGACUCUAUGGCAAUGUUUUUUUUUUUAACACAGCAAUUAGGGACAAAACCUGCCACAGUGAUUAUAACAAGUUUAGCUGGUGGCAGACACCUAGCUGUUCCCCAAAGAUUUGUUCUCUCCUUCCAUAGACUAGAGUUGUUCCUGGGAAGUUGCUGCCAAGCCAAGGACUGUGUGUCCCACCCCUUGCAUUUAGGUGGAGGUGAUAAGAUGAGCUCUCAGCAGGGGAAUGUGAGCAUAAGUGAUGGAUGCCUCUUCCAGGCCAAGGCUUUGAAGAAGAGCACAUGCCUUCCUCACCCUCUUUUCUUGUGUCUGCCAGUUGAUAUUGAAGAAGUCAGCCUGGGUCCUGGAAUGACUCACGGAACAAAGUGCCCCCCAGUCCCCUUCCACAAUUUUCAAGACCCAUUUCGGACAUCACAGGGUUGAAUGAUAAACUUCUAUUGUGCUAAAACUAUUGAGAUUUUGGGGUUUGUCUGCUACAGCGGCCACUUUUUCCGUAACUAAAUAGAAGAGGCAUCAAUUAGGGAUUUUGCAUGGGGGCUCUAUUUCCCUACCUAUCACGGAUGGUAUGGCAGGUAUUGCAAACUGGCUCACUCAAUUCCAUCCCAACCCUUUUGUAGUGGGAAAGCUAAAUGGGAGGAAGUCAAAGAUAUUUCCUCAUUUCCCAGAUACCCAUUUAUAGUUCAGGUUUCACAUGAGAUAUAGGUUGUUCCAGGGGUGUACUUGUGUGUGAUUUAGACAGCAGAGAUGAACAUAAUGAGGUCAUGCUCCUACUAUUUCUACUGUUUCUUUUGUCAAGCAUUAUUGUGAGGCUACAGAUAAUAGAAAAAUCCACUUUCAAGGGCUUAAACAAAUAGGCACUUAUUUUUUCACCUAACAAGAAGUUUGGAGGUAGGCCGAUACUGGUGUUGGUUCAUGAGUUCAACAGUGUCAGGGUCAGCGUCUGUGCAAUUCUUUUGGAUGUUCCCUCAUGGUUGCAAGGCCAUUGCUGCAGCUCCAGCCAUCACAUCUGUAUUCUAGGCAGAAAAAAAAAAGAAGAAGAAGUAGAAAAGGGGAACAGCAAUGCCAACUGGUUCUUUUUAUCAGAAAGGCAAAAACUUUCCCAGAAGUCUUCACAACAACUUACCUGUAGAUCUCACUGUCCAAAACUGGGCACAUUGCCACCUGAACAAAAUUAGAAUUCUGUUGGCAUGGAAGAGGGGAGGAUAGCUAUAAAAAUAGAAGUCAUGGUUGUUAUUCUCAAAGACCUGUAAUGGCUUUGUAGAAACAAAACAUACGCAUGUACACUUGAAUAAUAAUACCAGAGUUAAGAAAAGCUAUAAGACAAUAAUAUAAGUUACAGAGCAGACAUUUUAGAGGCGAUGGGAACUGUAGGGGUUUUCAGGAGGGCUGGUGUGAAGGACCAUGCAUCUCAGUUGAACUCUGUGGGUAGCCUCUUGCUUGCCCAUGGUGCCACGCUAGCAUCACCUGCCAGAGCAAACCAGUGUUCUGAGCGAGCGUCCAAAUGAAGCGCCCUUGGCAGGAUUGAUGGGCAGCAAGUGGUGAACCUGGCCUGGCCCUGGGCGGAUGAGAAGGUACUACAGGGACCGAGAAAGGGUCCCGAACACAGCUCCAGAAGUUAGUUUUGUGAGUGGAGCAUUUCCCUGGAUGCCAGAAAUGAUAAGGAUGGCCACCUGCCUGUAAUUAAUCCAAGUCUCCUUAGUCACCCAGACGUCAUACAAGCUCUAAAUUUGCCUCCAGAGAGUAAGGGGCCCUCACCCUGGAAUUACUGGCAAUUGCCUUUUGAAGUGAGAUUUAUUGACAUGAAUGAUCCCAGUCCCCUAUGGAGUUGCCUUGACCACUGAGAUGAUAAAUUUACCUUCUAUGGCAGCAGUGCUCCUGAGGAAUGAGUAUAAAGUAUUUGGAACGAGUAUUUCUAGUUUUUAUUUUAAUUUGGUGGCUCUUGUGAUAUUGGUCCCUGGAUCAUUUGUCAUUCAAGCUCAGCUUUAUUUUUCUCACUAACAGGGUUCAACAACCUAUUGGGACGCUGCUUUGAACAAGCAUAAAAAUCUACAAUAGCACCUCUCCCAUAUCCUUAGGGCCUUACCACUUCCUUAUGUCUCACGCCUACUUCCAACUGCCAGUCUCCAAUCUCUCUACCUGAGGGCUUUCUCUGAAACUGUAGAAAGCCUCUCUCUGCCCACACUGCAGGCCAGAGUGCCUGAGACUCAUACCACCCUCCCUUCAGUGUAGCUAUCAACCAAGGACUGAUGGGAUUUGACGAAUAUACAUAGCUCCUCCACCCCUGUGGUAGGAUAACCCUGACGUGUGUGUUACCCCACAUGUGUGAGCAUGUGAGGCAUAUGCCCAUGGCUUGUUGCCUACCAGACCUUUGGCACUUCAUCUCUUGUAGAAUCUCUCUGGGCAGCUUCCUGGGCUGGACUCCUCUUUCUAUCAUUAAUGAAAUCUGGAGAUAGCAAUGCUUCUUCCCCUUGGUCUUCCUGGGGUUGCCAGGGCUUUUUCUUUUCCAGAGAUAAUUGAUAACAUUCCUCACUUCAUGUGCGAGCCUGCUUAGGGGAGCCAGUGCAAGGCAGAUAGGAGAGAAGAACUCAACAUGUUACCUAAGCUCCUGAAUUUUCCCCAAUACAUCCUUGUUGGAAAAAAGAAACCAGUUCCUAAAUUUUGGUGCCACUCUUUGGUCAGCUUUAACCUCAAAACAACCUCAAGAGAUUAUAAAUUCUUUUUUUUUGGGGGGGGGGGAAUUUUUCAUUAACACAGGUGAACUCCCCCUUUUUUCAUAGAUAGCCUUUUAGUAAAACCCAAUGUGUACAGAAGAGAGAAGCUGGCUGCCUAGGCUUGGGCAAUAUUGAUGGUUAGUCCACUCAGGGAGUCAAAGAGACAGAAUGUCCCUUGAACAUUAGGGAAUCAAAAAGAGAUUCCUAAGCACUCGGAAAAGUCAUGUAAAAAGGAAGGUUUGAAAAAAGAAACAAAAGGAAACAUGUACAUGUACUAAACAUCUAUUCUGAGAUGGGCACUUA
Molecule: long non-coding RNA, 20148 nt
Organism: Loxodonta africana (African savanna elephant)
Lineage: Eukaryota; Metazoa; Chordata; Mammalia; Proboscidea; Elephantidae
Exons: 5
Source: RefSeq, a predicted model, not a curated record